CCUACGGGAGGCUGCAGUGAGGAAUAUUGGUCAAUGGCCGGAAGGCUGAACCAGCCAUGCCGCGUGAAGGUCAGUGCCCUAUGGGCGUUAAACUUCUUUUGUGCGGGAGCAAUAAUGGUCACGUGUGGCCAGACGAGAGUACCGUACGAAUAAGCAUCGGCUCACUCCGUGCCAGCAGCCGCGGUAAUACGGGGGAUGCAAGCGUUAUCCGGAUUUAUUGGGUUUAAAGGGUGCGUAGGCUGUGAGGUAAGUCAGCGGUGAAAUGCCCCCGCUCAACGGGGUGAAGUGCCAUUGAUACUGCCUGGCUGGAAUGCGGAUGACGUGGGAGGAAUGUGUGGUGUAGCGGUGAAAUGCAUAGAGAUCACACAGAACACCGAUUGCGAAGGCAUCUCACGAAGCCGCGAUUGACGCUGAUGCACGAAAGCGUGGGUAUCAAACAGGAUUAGAUACCCUGGUAGUC
This 460-nucleotide ribosomal RNA is filed under the name uncultured bacterium. Its description in RNAcentral is "partial 16S ribosomal RNA". It matches the Rfam family "Bacterial small subunit ribosomal RNA", at positions 338 to 795 of the family's 1533-position model. The record is from RNAcentral.